AAGUCGUAACAAGGUUUCCGUAGGUGAACCUGCGGAAGGAUCAUUACCGUGAGUCGUGGGAGACACUUUGGACCAGCACCCACGCCGCCCUGCCCGCGGGCGUGCGCGUUCAGGCGGCCAUUGGCGUCUCCCACCACCCAAAUACCCCCCAUCCCUGCCUAAAACGCACUCUUUGUUUCCUCGGCGGGCCCGCCCGCCGCAGGACCCCUUCUGGAAACGCUUUUGCAAACCACGCAGUCGUUCGUCUGAGCGGAGUUUAUACACGCAAUCAAAUUAAAACUUUCAACAACGGAUCUCUUGGUUCUG
This 306-nucleotide unclassified non-coding RNA is filed under the name fungal sp. Its description in RNAcentral is "partial internal transcribed spacer region". The stretch from base 1 to 46 matches the Rfam family "Eukaryotic small subunit ribosomal RNA", at positions 1786 to 1831 of the family's 1831-position model. Lineage: Eukaryota; Fungi. The record is from RNAcentral.